GUAGGGUGCGAGCGUUAAUCGGAAUUACUGGGCGUAAAGCGUGCGCAGGCGGUGAGUUAAGUCUGCUGUGAAAGCCCCGGGCUCAACCUGGGAAUGGCAGUGGAAACUGGCUCGCUGGAGUGUGGCAGAGGGGGGUGGAAUUCCGCGUGUAGCAGUGAAAUGCGUAGAGAUGCGGAGGAACACCGAUGGCGAAGGCAGCCCCCUGGGCCAACACUGACGCUCAGGCACGAAAGCGUGGGGAGCAAACAGGAUUAGAUACCCUGGUAGUCCACGCCCUAAACGAUGUCAACUGGGUGUUGGGGAAGCGAUUCCUUGGUACCGUAGCUAACGCGUGAAGUUGACCGCCUGGGGAGUACGGCCGCAAGGUUA
Molecule: ribosomal RNA, 369 nt
Filed under: uncultured bacterium
Lineage: Bacteria
Description: bacterial SSU rRNA
Rfam family: Bacterial small subunit ribosomal RNA
Source: RNAcentral